AUCGAACGCUGGCGGUAUGGACUAAAACAUGCAAGUCGAACGCGAAAAGGGGGCAACCCCAAGUAGGGUGGCGCAAGGGCGAGUAAUGCGUUUCUAACGUACCCGGACUCAGGAUAGCUCACCGAAAGGUGGAUUAAUACCUGAUAAUGCCUGCCGAGCUGGUAAUGGCUUGGCUGCCAAAGGCUUGCUGGUCUGGGAGCGGGGAACGUCCUAUCAGGUCGUUGGUGAGGUAAUGGCNCACCAAGCCUAGUGACGGGUAGCGGGUGUGAGAGCACGGCCCG
This 281-nucleotide ribosomal RNA is filed under the name uncultured bacterium. Its description in RNAcentral is "partial 16S ribosomal RNA". It matches the Rfam family "Bacterial small subunit ribosomal RNA", at positions 30 to 307 of the family's 1533-position model. The record is from RNAcentral.